CCAAACUUCUCAGCACUGGGUACAGUCAGAAGCACAUGAUGCCUAACUCCUUAUAUUACACUCCAGAUACAUUAUCUUAUUUUAAACAGGUGAUGUCCACAUCCUUCCAGUGUUCCAGCAGUUUCCUAGUCUCCAUUCCUGAAAGAACCUGCAUUUCCCUUUCCCGGCUCCAUCCCUGGCUUCCUGUGUGCUCAGCCUCUUGCAGUUGUCAUCGUGCCUUCAGAAUGCAUUUGAUAGGUACAGGAAGUUAUACUAGACCGAGAUGGAACCAGCAAUCAAUAAAAAAAGAACUAUGUUUCCAAGAAAAAUGCAUCACGGCUUCCCACAGGAGUUAUGUACCAUAAGUCCUAAUAUUAUCUGUGGAACAAUGGAUCUAAUUUUUAGCUCUUCUGCUUGGCUUUCCCUGCGUCUCAACAAGUAGACUUUUUAACCUGCUCCUCCCCAACUGGCUGACGAUUCGUAGUCAAGAUUCCCUUUCCUCUUAACCCUUUCGUUAGCUAUCACAAUAUAAAAUCUCUUCCUCCAGCUUUAUUUCGCCUGGCUACUAGUUUAGUAUAUUUAUGGUGCAUGAGUCAUCAAGCUGCCAUCUGAUUGGAUAAAAACCAAGCACCCCUGGGACCAUCAGUCAAUUACAGCUAUUCUCAGCUUCAUUCACAGAUUUAUUAGCUUGCACACACAGAGAGAAAUUCAUUCAGCAAAGUUCAUUCAUAAAAAUUUCAACACUCUGCGUAUC
Molecule: long non-coding RNA, 733 nt
Organism: Talpa occidentalis (Iberian mole)
Lineage: Eukaryota; Metazoa; Chordata; Mammalia; Eulipotyphla; Talpidae
Exons: 3
Source: RefSeq, a predicted model, not a curated record